Molecule: ribosomal RNA, 495 nt
Filed under: uncultured bacterium
Lineage: Bacteria
Description: partial 16S ribosomal RNA
Rfam family: Bacterial small subunit ribosomal RNA
Source: RNAcentral
GACGAACGCUGGCGGCGUGCCUAAUACAUGCAAGUAGAACGCUGAAGGAGGAGCUUGCUUCUCUGGAUGAGUUGCGAACGGGUGAGUAACGCGUAGGUAACCUGCCUGGUAGCGGGGGAUAACUAUUUGAAACGAUAGCUAAUACCGCAUAAUAUCAGUUGUUGCAUGACAACUGUUUGAAAGGUUCAAUUGCUCCACUACCAGAUGGACCUGCGUUGUAUUAGCUAGUUGGUGGGGUAACGGCUCACCAAGGCGACGAUACAUAUCCGACCUGAGAGGGUGAUCGGACAAACUGGGACUGGGACACGGCCAAGAAUACUACGGGAGGCAGCAGUAGGGAAUCUUCGGAAAUGGAAGGAAGUCUGACCGAGAAACGCCGCGUGAGUGAAGAAGGUUGUCGGAUCGUAAAGCUCUGUUGUAAGAGAAGAACGAGAGUGAGAGUGGAAAGUUCACACUGUGACGGUAACUUAACAGAAAGGGACGGCUAACUACGUG